GACAGAGGGUGCAAACGUUGUUCGGAAUUACUGGGCGUAAAGGGCGCGUAGGCGGCGUGUCAAGUCAGGCGUGAAAGCCCCGGGCUCAACCUGGGAACCGCGCUUGAGACUGGCAUGCUCGAGUUCGGGAGAGGAUGGUGGUAAUUCCCAGUGUAGAGGUGAAAUUCGUAGAUAUUGGGAAGAACACCGAUGGCGAAGGCGAGCCAUCUGGACCGACACUGACGCUGAG
This 229-nucleotide ribosomal RNA is filed under the name uncultured bacterium. RNAcentral's name for it is "partial 16S ribosomal RNA". It matches the Rfam family "Bacterial small subunit ribosomal RNA", at positions 524 to 750 of the family's 1533-position model. The record is from RNAcentral.